GCUUUCCUUGUCUUGAGUGAGCUGCUCAAUGAAUGUCUAGUGAGAGUAGUCCUGCUGACACCAUAACAACACAUAUGCAUCAUCUGGGCUCCUGCCCAGAGUGUGGUGCAAUUUUUGGAAAC
Molecule: small nuclear RNA, 122 nt
Organism: Perca fluviatilis (European perch)
Lineage: Eukaryota; Metazoa; Chordata; Actinopteri; Perciformes; Percidae
Product: U4atac minor spliceosomal RNA
Exons: 1
Source: RefSeq, a predicted model, not a curated record